Molecule: ribosomal RNA, 200 nt
Filed under: uncultured bacterium
Lineage: Bacteria
Description: partial 16S ribosomal RNA
Rfam family: Bacterial small subunit ribosomal RNA
Source: RNAcentral
AUUGAACGCUGGCGGCAGGCCUAACACAUGCAAGUCGAGCGGAUGAGAGGAGCUUGCUCCUGGAUUCAGCGGCGGACGGGUGAGUAAUGCCUAGGAAUCUGCCUGGUAGUGGGGGACAACGUUUCGAAAGGAACGCUAAUACCGCAUACGUCCUACGGGAGAAAGCAGGGGACCUUCGGGCCUUGCGCUAUCAGACGAGC